RNAcentral lists this ribosomal RNA (494 nucleotides) under uncultured bacterium. RNAcentral's name for it is "partial 16S ribosomal RNA". It matches the Rfam family "Bacterial small subunit ribosomal RNA", at positions 28 to 507 of the family's 1533-position model. The record is from RNAcentral.
GACGAACGCUGGCGGCGUGCUUAACACAUGCAAGUCGAACGGAAAGGCCUGUCCUUCCUUGUGUUGGACGGGUACUCGAGUGGCGAACGGGUGAGUAACACGUGAGUGAUCUGCCCCCAACUUGGGUAUAAGCCUGGGAAACUGGGUCUAAUUCCCGAUAGGACUGCAGGGUGGUGCCUGUGGUGGAAAACGAUUUUCUAGUGGUUGGGGAUGAGCUCGCGGCCUAUCAGCUUGUUGGUGGGGUAAUGGCCCACCAAGGCGGCGACGGGUAGCCGGCCUGAGAGGGUGGACGGCCACAUUGGGACUGAGAUACGGCCCAGACUCCUACGGGAGGCAGCAGUGGGGAAUAUUGCACAAUGGGCGGAAGCCUGAUGCAGCGACGCCGCGUGGGGGAUGACGGCCUUCGGGUUGUAAACUCCUUUCGACCGCGAGGAAGCCGCCUGGUUGGAAGGGUGGUGACGGUAGUGGUAGAAGAAGCACCGGCUAACUACGUG